This 65-nucleotide transfer RNA is filed under the name Acanthephyra sp. RNAcentral's name for it is "tRNA-Leu". It matches the Rfam family "tRNA". From Rfam's summary of the family: Transfer RNA (tRNA) molecules are approximately 80 nucleotides in length. Lineage: Eukaryota; Metazoa; Arthropoda; Malacostraca; Decapoda; Oplophoridae. The record is from RNAcentral.
AUUACCUUGGCAGAAUAAUGUAUUAGAUUUAGGAUCUAAAGAUAUAGUUAAAACUAUAGGUGAUA